UUGGCGACGGUAAAGAACCAUAAUACAACUUUCAGCAAUGGAUCUUUUGGCUCUUGCAUCGAUGAAGAACGCAGCGAAUUGCGAUAAGUAAUGUGAAUUGCAGAUUUUCAGUGAAUCAUUGAAUCUUUGAACGCACCUUGCGCUCCUUGGUAUUCCGAGGAGCAUGCCUGUUUGAGUGUCAAAUAAUUCUCAACCCUCCCUCGAUUCGUUUCGAGGGUUUGGCUUGGAUUUUGGGGGGUGCCGGGCGACCCUAGGGUCUUCGGCUCUCCUUAUAAGCAUUAGCGAGGGCGGCGCGAUCUAACCCCCCCACGCAUGAACGGCCUUGGACGUGAUAAUGAUCGUCGUGGCCGGAGUGCUGUUAGUAGGUGUCGUGAAAGUCGGCGCUUCUAAAGACCUCGUCGAAAGACGAAAACUCGAAACUGACCUCAAAUCAGGUAG
This 438-nucleotide ribosomal RNA is filed under the name uncultured Paxillus. RNAcentral describes it as "eukaryotic LSU rRNA". The stretch from base 27 to 181 matches the Rfam family "5.8S ribosomal RNA". Lineage: Eukaryota; Fungi; Basidiomycota; Agaricomycetes; Boletales; Paxillaceae. The record is from RNAcentral.